This 28-nucleotide non-coding RNA is filed under the name Rattus norvegicus (Norway rat). Lineage: Eukaryota; Metazoa; Chordata; Mammalia; Rodentia; Muridae. The record is from RNAcentral.
UGGUACUGCUCUUGUAGAGAACCUGAAU